RNAcentral lists this ribosomal RNA (425 nucleotides) under uncultured bacterium. RNAcentral describes it as "bacterial SSU rRNA". It matches the Rfam family "Bacterial small subunit ribosomal RNA", at positions 354 to 796 of the family's 1533-position model. The record is from RNAcentral.
GUGGGGAAUAUUGGACAAUGGGCGCAAGCCUGAUCCAGCCAUGCCGCGUGAGUGAUGAAGGCCUUAGGGUUGUAAAGCUCUUUCACCGGUGAAGAUAAUGACGGUAACCGGAGAAGAAGCCCCGGCUAACUUCGUGCCAGCAGCCGCGGUAAUACGAAGGGGGCUAGCGUUGUUCGGAAUUACUGGGCGUAAAGCGCACGUAGGCGGAUAUUUAAGUCAGGGGUGAAAUCCCAGAGCUCAACUCUGGAACUGCCUUUGAUACUGGGUAUCUCGAGUAUGGAAGAGGUAAGUGGAAUUCCGAGUGUAGAGGUGAAAUUCGUAGAUAUUCGGAGGAACACCAGUGGCGAAGGCGGCUUACUGGUCCAUUACUGACGCUGAGGUGCGAAAGCGUGGGGAGCAAACAGGAUUAGAAACCCUAGUAGUCC